AGCACGAAUUCCCCAGCUUCUCACAACGCACCCAAGAACGGAGGUUGCGCGACCGUGCACCUCGAUUCAGCAAAAAACCCCAGGUGCAGUCAGUGCCGGAGCGAGCUUGUGGGAAACCCUGGGAGGGCAGCUUCACCCAUCCACGCCUCCAAACCUUUACAACAACAGCAGCAGCAGCCGCCGCCGCCGCUACCCCGGGACCAGCAAACGCGGUCCCGCACCUCUCGCCCGCAGCCCUCAGGUGCCCCCUUGCCUUGUGCCCCGCACCCCCGUGCGGGCCCUGCCCGGCCGCGGCAGCCGAGCGCUGGCGGGGAUGGCGGCCGGGAACAGCCGGCGCCGCUUCCCCCGCGGCGCAGCUUAAGAGGCAGCAGAAGAGCCCUCGGCCUCCCUCCCCGCGCAAGCAGCCCGGCACUAAGAGUAGCUCCUCGGAGCCGGGGGGCUGAGCCCCUUCCAACCGCGCAUCGGGACCCCACGCCCGGCUCGGACGCGGAGGGAGCGGGAUCCCUCGCUCCCACGCCCCAGCCAGGCGAGCGGUCCCGGCGGCGGCUCUUCCCCCAACCCCUCGCCCACCCGGUCCCGAGGAGGGGCAAGGCGGGAGAAGGGCGGCACUUACGGGGCCCGGGCACGGCUCCCUGCGGCGGCGCCAGGUCGGGGUGCGCGGAGGCGCAGCGGCAGCGGCGGGUCUCUCAGCGGCGCAGCCGGGGCGCUCCUCCCCUCAGGAAGCCCCCGUGCCCGGCCUUCCCACACGUGCGGGGCCGGCAAACCCCACCCCGCCGCGCCGACCCCCUUCCCGCCCUCCCCUCCCCUCCCCUCCCCCCCGGAGCCGGGCCACCCCCGGCUGAGCGGCGCGGCGGCGCAGCGGGGAGACGGGGCUCUUCCCCGGGGCGUCGGGCCGUGUCACUCGCCGCGUCCCUCGGGGAAGGGAGGCCGGGCAGCCCCAACUCCGCCACUGGGGCUAGUGCCACCCUCAGCGCCGUUACAGACACCCCCCCGGCCGUUACAGAGCCCCUAACACCUAACGGUCGAGGAGCGACCGUUAAACCCCACCCGCGAGCCUCACCUGUUUCUCACUACUGA
RNAcentral lists this long non-coding RNA (1077 nucleotides) under Falco tinnunculus (common kestrel). Its description in RNAcentral is "lncRNA (ENSFTIG00000015459.1)". Lineage: Eukaryota; Metazoa; Chordata; Aves; Falconiformes; Falconidae. The record is from RNAcentral.